Molecule: long non-coding RNA, 661 nt
Organism: Lemur catta (Ring-tailed lemur)
Lineage: Eukaryota; Metazoa; Chordata; Mammalia; Primates; Lemuridae
Exons: 3
Source: RefSeq, a predicted model, not a curated record
CCCGAGCUGGUUUGUGAGCUGCCGUGUGCAAAGGCUGUGGCGGGGGCCAGAGGGAGCUCCCACGGGGGAGGCUGGGAGCGGCAUGCCGCGAGUUCUCCCUGUUUUAUGCAUCCGGGAGCUGUUUUCUUUGCAGAGGAAAGGGGUUUAAAUUAGAAAAGUCUAGAGAAGCCCUGUGUCCAGUCAUUUCAGGUCAGCGCUGAGCUGGACUCCGCCCAGGAGCAUGGUUAAUUAAGCAUCUGGAAGCAGGGGCAGGAAACGGAGCCGAAGGCUGGCUCCCCACAGCUCCAGGAGUUGGAAAAGAGAAGCAGAGAAAGGGUUCUCUCUCCGUGCUGAGAAUCUGCCCUUGAAGUUCAGUCCUGCCCUGGGGUGGAGCAGAUGAGUUGGCUGGGACCUGCAGAAUCGGAGCGGUUGGAAUAUCUGCCAAACUGUCCAUCUUGUGCCUGCUUUGCAUAAUGCUCCGUUUGUGAGUGCUGGCCGGAUCCAGCCGAGUCGCCUAAGAAAUGACACUUGGCUUCUGCUUUGACAGGAAUAGCUCCACCUUGGCUGUUCUCCCCACAUCAUGGAUUUCACUGUCUCAGCCUUUCCCAAGAGUUUCGUUUCAGGGCCAGUGUGCACCUGGGCAUGAGCUCCUGAAGUUUGGAUAACACUUUUUUUUUUUUUA